This 208-nucleotide long non-coding RNA is filed under the name Homo sapiens (human). The record is from RNAcentral. Lineage: Eukaryota; Metazoa; Chordata; Mammalia; Primates; Hominidae.
GCCUGGGCAAUGGCGGGCGCCCCUGCCCCAGCCUCGCUGCCGCCUUGCAGUUUGAUCUCAGACUGCUGUGCUAGCAAUCAGCGAGACUCCAUGGGCGUAGGACCCUCUGAGCCAGAGGCUGAGUAGUCUCAAGAUCUGAAGACAGCAGAAACCUGGGAAAGUUAAUGAUAUACGUUGUUAUACUCCAAGUGUGAGUCUGAAGACAAGG